UAAACAUAUUAAAAUAGCGUGUACCAAAAUAUAAAGUCACUGCGCACGCUAAAUAGUGACGUCACUGGCUUGAUGAAAUUUAAUUCGCGUGUACCUAACUUUUUUAUUUGCGUACACGUUAGCGUGUACCUAGACACAGCGAAAAAAAAAACAAAAUCAAUAAUUUUUUAGACAGCUCGGAAAUAAAAGGCCAACAAUGAAAAUAUUCAAGGAGAAGAAUAUUUGACAGAUUGUUGCAAAAUUAUAAUUGUUUGUAAACAUUAUACUAUACAUUUAAAUUGGGAUUUAAACAGGUUUUAAAUACCAAUGAAUUCCAUGGAUGAAGCAAAACAAUUUGCUGUAACCUGGAGUAAUCACAUGAACCAUGUAAAACAAGCUUUUGAUAAUUUGUUAAAUAACAGUGAUCUUACAGAUGUUACUUUAUAUGUAGAAGGAAAUAAAAUCGGCGCCCACAAAAUGUUACUUUCAGCUUGUAGCAAUUACUUCAACAACCUCUUCAAAGAUUUUCCCCAAGAACAUCCUAUCAUAGUACUAAAAGGAGUCAGAUGUAGGGUUUUAAAGGAUAUUCUGAAAUUUAUUUAUAGUGGAGAAGUUAGUGUGGAUAGCAGUCACUUUGAUAAUUUUUUACAAACAGCUGAGUUCUUAGAAAUAAGUGGACUAACAAAUAGGCAGAAUGUAGAAGAGUGUGAAAAUGUAGAUACGGAGUUAAUAAAUGGUUCUUCAUCAAAAUCAAAGAGAAUUCGCUCAAGGAAGAAAAAGAUCAAAAUGGAAGUUACAGAAGAGGGAGAAGCUGAUGAUGGUAAUGCAGAGUGGGAUGACCAAGAUUUAACUCCAGUUUUUACAGAAAAUCUAUGUGAUAUUCAAAUUACACAAGGUUCAGAUGAGAUUGAAGUUAAUGAUAUAGUAGUAAAAAAUAAAAGAAAAAUAGACGAAGAAGAUCAACAGGAUUUAAGUAGUGACGACAGCGUGGCAGGUCCGAAUUGUACACCUAAAGUUGAGGGUCAUGUACAAAUAAGUGUUUCAUCAUGCUCUUCUGCCCCUACAAAAUCAUCGAGAAAAAGUAAAUUCGACAAUUUUUUUGACAUUGCUAACGAUCGGCAAAGCGCGAUGUGCAAAUUAUGCUUUUCUGAAAAGAAAAAAAUUAUGAAGCUGAGUAUGUCCCAUAGAAGUACAUCGGGGUUAAGUAAACAUCUACGCCGUGCCCAUAGAGACGAGUUCAACCUACUUGCGGAAAAUAUGGUGCCAGACAGAUUCCCGUCAGCAGACUGAAAACUCUUUUGGAUAAACAAACGUUUUAGGACCUAAUCUUCACAACCCAAUAGGUCUCCAUAACGCUCGAGUAACUGCAAAUUCAGCAUACUUUCCUCCCCUACUAUUACAUUACCAGCAAGACUGUAAAAUAAUAUACAGGGCGUUUUAUUUAAUUCUUGAUGUUGUUUACGAAGGUUGUGCAUCAAAAUCAAGGACUUUCGAGGAGGACCUUGUAGACUGGUAGAACAUUAAAAAUAAGUUGUAAAAUUAUAUUAUAGGUGUUAAAAAAUAAACUCUGUAUGCCUCUUCCAA
Molecule: unclassified non-coding RNA, 1563 nt
Filed under: Diabrotica virgifera virgifera (western corn rootworm)
Lineage: Eukaryota; Metazoa; Arthropoda; Insecta; Coleoptera; Chrysomelidae
Description: protein abrupt-like
Source: RNAcentral